UGGUAAUGUUGAGAUAUUCAAUCAGAGAUGAAAAAAAAAAAAAUGGUAUCAAUUUAUCCUACCUUUGAUAAAUAGUUUUUCACCCGAUUGACAAUUGGUGGAGUGAAUUUUUCAAUCUUCGUAAUAACGGACGAGGUGACUUCUGUUGGUACGGGGGCUGCAUAACAUUAACCAAACCAUGGGAAUUUAUAGGGAGUACUGGAACACCUUUAUUAUUCUGGGAAUGAAAGAGCGGAACAACUGGCAAAACAAAAAGGUACCAGAGGAGAAUGGGGGUUAGAAUUGGAUACCGCAGGAUUUCAAGCAAUCUAAAAUUUCUAAAUUAGCAAAAAAGCAUGUAAAAGCGAAAGCUUCAAAUUAAGCGAUUAAAGACUAAGAAAACACAUUCAAGUUCUGCAGAAAGAAACAUUCGAAAUCAAGAGAUAAAAUAAAUAUUUUAAAAAUAUAUAGGUAAUAAUAAG
Long non-coding RNA from Episyrphus balteatus (marmalade hoverfly), 461 nucleotides. RefSeq lists it as uncharacterized. The transcript is spliced from 3 exons. NCBI's taxonomy places the organism in Eukaryota, Metazoa, Arthropoda, Insecta, Diptera, Syrphidae. The record is from RefSeq and is a predicted model, not a curated record.